Molecule: non-coding RNA, 110 nt
Organism: Acanthosepion pharaonis
Lineage: Eukaryota; Metazoa; Mollusca; Cephalopoda; Sepiida; Sepiidae
Source: the annotation of a GenBank genome assembly
GGCCACAUCACGCUGAAACACUGAUUCUCAUAUGAUCACUGAAGUUAAGCAGUGCCAAGCCUAGUCAGUACCUACAUGGGUAACCACUUGGGAAUACCAGGUGCUGUAAG